GUGCACCAGGCGCGAAACCUCCGCAAUACACGAAAGUGUGACGGGGCCAUCCCGAGUGCCGUCCGCUGAGGACGGCUUUUCCCCAGUGUACACAGCUGGGGGAAUAAGGAGAGGGCAAGCCUGGUGUCAGCCGCCGCGGUAAUACCCAGCUCUCCGAGUGGUGGGGACGCUUAUUGGGCCUAAAGCAUCCGUAGCCGGCUGGGCAAGUCCUCCGUUAAAUCCAACGAUUCAAUCGUUGGGCUGCGGGGGAUACAGUCCAGCUUGGGGGCGGGAGAGGCCGACGGUAUUCCCCGGGGUAGGGGUGAAAUCCGUAUAAUCCCGGGAGGACCACCAGUGGCGAAGGCUGUCGGCUAGAACGCGCCCGACGGU
RNAcentral lists this ribosomal RNA (369 nucleotides) under uncultured microorganism. RNAcentral describes it as "bacterial SSU rRNA". It matches the Rfam family "Archaeal small subunit ribosomal RNA", at positions 330 to 698 of the family's 1478-position model. The record is from RNAcentral.